GUGUGAGUCAGGAGACAGACAGUCAGGAGAAAAAAUUGUUCACGAAUAUGUGGGUGCGUCCGAACAUUAUUUAGAUAUUUAUUCCUUAUACCUAGGACAACAGGUUCUGUGGGAAUUAAGGAGACAGAGAAGUAACCUUAAGGAGAGGUAAGAAGAAAGGUUGUUGAUUUACGUCUGGUGGAUGUCUGGUGUUAUAUCUUUAAAUAUUAAUCGAAGCAAAACUCACUCAGUAUAUUUUACUGUCAUUUUUUUCAGAGAAACCCACCAAUGACCAAAACUCAGGCUUCCUCAUCAUAUGUUACAGGACUGGGAACCAAAACUCAAUCAGUCCUGAUGUUGUCCAACGAAGAACUUUUGCUACAUUUCCAAAACUCACCAAUUCCACAGAAAUCUUCUUGAAAACAUGAAAUUGCCCUACAGUCGUACUGGUGAAAUAACCUUUGCACAACUAAAAGUUGCUUGGAAUAAAAGUGAGCACUGAGCCUGGAUCCCACCUCAGGAAGCAGACAGCACAAAGCAGGAGACACAAUGACCAGGAUGUCACUCAGCAGCCACCCGCACUGCACUGAAGGAAACAAGAGGUAAUUCCAGAUGCUCGAAAUUAGCCCCAACCCUGUAAGUUUGCGGCUACAUAGUGCCACCAGACAGUGUUCCAAAUACAAAAAUGUACCUACCAGACAGAAAGUAAUA
Molecule: long non-coding RNA, 690 nt
Organism: Brienomyrus brachyistius
Lineage: Eukaryota; Metazoa; Chordata; Actinopteri; Osteoglossiformes; Mormyridae
Exons: 2
Source: RefSeq, a predicted model, not a curated record